Non-coding RNA from Pelobates cultripes (western spadefoot toad), 470 nucleotides. The record is from the annotation of a GenBank genome assembly. Lineage: Eukaryota; Metazoa; Chordata; Amphibia; Anura; Pelobatidae.
GAUCGGGAGCUAUUAACAGUUUAAUUGAUACACUAUUAUGAAAAAGUGAGUUAAUGAUUUUUGGAAGGAGUGGAGACUGGGUGAGUGUCUAACGGAGAAGGGAAGGGAGUUCCACAGGAACAGUGCAGCCCUAGAGAAGUCUUGAAGGCGAGCAUUACAGGGGGAAGUACGAACAGAGGAUAGAUGUAGGUAUCCAGCAGAGCGCAAGGGCCUAGAUGGGACAUACUUCUGUAUUAGGGAGGAUAGAUAGGUGGGAGCAGCAAUAUGUAGAGAUUUGAAAGCAAGAACCAGAAUUUGAAAUUGAACCCUGUAUCUUAUGGGAAGCCAAUGCAGAAACUGACAGAGGGGUAAGGCAUUAGAAGUGCAGGCGGGCAGUAAGAUGAGCCUCACUGCCGUAUUCAUUACAUAUUUUAACAGUGCAAGUUGCCGGGACGUAAGACCACUGAGAAGUGGAUUGCUGUAGUCAAGAC